AAAGAAAUGACAGAUUCAGAGAUGCCUCACAAUCCAAAGAGCUUUUCAUUUAUGCCUUGAAAUUGUAUCUCGUUCAUUCGCUCAGUUUGGCAUGAGCAUUAAGAAUUCCAAACAAAAAAAUCUGGAAUGCUGUUAUGGAAUUUUUGCUAUAGAGUAGCCAAAUAUCUGGCCAGAUCUACCAAACACUUGUCCGAAACUCCUAGGCCAAAGUCGC
Long non-coding RNA from Lycium ferocissimum, 214 nucleotides. RefSeq lists it as uncharacterized. Lineage: Eukaryota; Viridiplantae; Streptophyta; Magnoliopsida; Solanales; Solanaceae. The transcript is spliced from 2 exons. The record is from RefSeq and is a predicted model, not a curated record.